RNAcentral lists this ribosomal RNA (467 nucleotides) under uncultured bacterium. RNAcentral describes it as "bacterial SSU rRNA". It matches the Rfam family "Bacterial small subunit ribosomal RNA", at positions 331 to 797 of the family's 1533-position model. The record is from RNAcentral.
CCAGACUCCUACGGGAGGCAGCAGUGAGGAAUAUUGGUCAAUGGGCUUACGCCUGAACCAGCCAAGUCGCGUGAGGGAAGACUGCCCUAUGGGUUGUAAACCUCUUUUGUCAGGGAGCAACGCCGGCUACGUGUAGCCGGACUGAGAGUACCUGAAGAAAAAGCAUCGGCUAACUCCGUGCCAGCAGCCGCGGUAAUACGGAGGAUGCGAGCGUUAUCCGGAUUUAUUGGGUUUAAAGGGUGCGUAGGCGGAAGUCGAGGCAGGAGAUAAAGGCGCGGGGCCCACCCCCCCCCCGCCGUUGAAACUGGCGUUCUUGAGUGGGCGAGAAGUAUGCGGAAUGCGUGGUGUAGCGGUGAAAUGCAUAGAUAUCACGCAGAACUCCGAUUGCGAAGGCAGCGUACCGGCGCCCAACUGACGCUGAAGCACGAAGGCGUGGGUAUCGAACAGGAUUAGAUACCCCGGUACCG